CCAUGAUGUCUGGCUGACAAGUUGUUAUGAAACUGUAAGGCUCUACACAGCAUUGGUUCAAGUCCAGAACACAGUAAAUGAGUGCUCUGCCUGUACAUCAGCAUGUUGUUAUGCCUUGGCAGCAAAUCCUAAUGGUACUGCUCAGUAACAAUACAAGAGGCACACCACCUUCUCAACACAGAAAGAUAGUUCCUGCUCCAGCAGAUGGAAGUAAAACACGUUGCCCUUGGGAAAGCAGUAACUGGAAAACAAUAUCGGACACUGGAUGGAUGAGUUCUCUGCACAAAAAUUAUUGAAAGAAAAAUCAGAAGCAACUUAUGGCCAGUAUU
Passer domesticus (house sparrow) is the source of this 329-nucleotide long non-coding RNA. RefSeq lists it as uncharacterized. The record is from RefSeq and is a predicted model, not a curated record. The transcript has 3 exons. NCBI's taxonomy places the organism in Eukaryota, Metazoa, Chordata, Aves, Passeriformes, Passeridae.